GGGCCCAUAGCUCAGCUGGUUAGAGCGCUUGCAUGGCAUGCAAGAGGUCAGGAGUUCGAAUCUCCUUGGGUCCA
This 74-nucleotide transfer RNA is filed under the name Candidatus Magasanikiibacteriota bacterium. RNAcentral's name for it is "Candidatus Magasanikbacteria bacterium tRNA-Ala". It matches the Rfam family "tRNA". From Rfam's summary of the family: Transfer RNA (tRNA) molecules are approximately 80 nucleotides in length. Their secondary structure includes four short double-helical elements and three loops (D, anti-codon, and T loops). Further hydrogen bonds mediate the characteristic L-shaped molecular structure. tRNAs have two regions of fundamental functional importance: the anti-codon, which is responsible for specific mRNA codon recognition, and the 3' end, to which the tRNAs corresponding amino acid is attached (by aminoacyl-tRNA synthetases). tRNAs cope with the degeneracy of the genetic code in two manners: having more than one tRNA (with a specific anti-codon) for a particular amino acid; and 'wobble' base-pairing, i.e. permitting non-standard base-pairing at the 3rd anti-codon position. Lineage: Bacteria; Candidatus Magasanikiibacteriota. The record is from RNAcentral.